UGGGAACGUGCCUUUUGGUUCGGAACAACUGAGGGAAACUUCAGCUAAUACCGGAUAAGCCCUUACGGGGAAAGAUUUAUCGCCAAAAGAUCGGCCCGCGUCUGAUUAGCUAGUUGGUGGGUAAUGGCCCAUCAAGGCUACGAUCAGUAGCUGGUCUGAGAGGAUGAUCAGCCACACUGGGACUGAGACACGGCCCAGACUCCUACGGGAGGCAG
Molecule: ribosomal RNA, 215 nt
Filed under: uncultured bacterium
Lineage: Bacteria
Description: partial 16S ribosomal RNA
Rfam family: Bacterial small subunit ribosomal RNA
Source: RNAcentral